This 74-nucleotide transfer RNA is filed under the name Alosa alosa (allis shad). RNAcentral's name for it is "tRNA-OTHER". The record is from RNAcentral. Lineage: Eukaryota; Metazoa; Chordata; Actinopteri; Clupeiformes; Clupeidae.
GUUUCCAUAGUGUAGUGGUUAUCACGUUAAGCCUCAUUGCGAAAAGGUCCCCAGUUCGAAACUGGGUGGAAACA